Molecule: ribosomal RNA, 608 nt
Filed under: uncultured bacterium
Lineage: Bacteria
Description: bacterial SSU rRNA
Rfam family: Bacterial small subunit ribosomal RNA (bases 1-516)
Source: RNAcentral
CCUACGGGAGGCAGCAGUGGGGAAUCUUGCGCAAUGGGCGAAAGCCUGACGCAGCCAUGCCGCGUGAAUGAUGAAGGUCUUAGGAUUGUAAAAUUCUUUCACCGGGGACGAUAAUGACGGUACCCGGAGAAGAAGCCCCGGCUAACUUCGUGCCAGCAGCCGCGGUAAUACGAAGGGGGCUAGCGUUGCUCGGAAUUACUGGGCGUAAAGGGAGCGUAGGCGGAUAGUUUAGUCAGAGGUGAAAGCCCAGGGCUCAACCUUGGAAUUGCCUUUGAUACUGGCUAUCUUGAGUAUGGGAGAGGUAUGCGGAACUCCGAGUGUAGAGGUGAAAUUCGUAGAUAUUCGGAAGAACACCAGUGGCGAAGGCGGCAUACUGGCCCAUUACUGACGCUGAGGCUCGAAAGCGUGGGGAGCAAACAGGAUUAGAUACCCUGGUAGUCCACGCUAGUAACGAUGAGUGCUAGUUGUCGGCAUGCAUGCAUGUCGGUGGCGCAGCUACGCAUAAGCACCGCCGCCGUGGGGAGGUACGGUCGCGNGUGUAUUAAACUUACGUAAAGGUUAAGUUAGACGGCGNGAGACGNGCCGACGGCGACGACGAGGGGAGGAGG